ACACGUAGGGGGCGAGCGUUGUUCGGAAUCAUUGGGCGUAAAGGGCGUGCAGGCGGUCCUGCAAGUCCGGCGUGAAAGACCCCGGCCCAACCGGGGGGACGCGCUGGAAACUGCGGGGCUUGAGUACAGGAGGGGAUGCCGGAAUUCCAUGGGUAGGGGUGAAAUCUGUAGAUAUCUGGAAGAACACCAAUGGCGAAGGCAGGCAUCUGGCCAUGUACUGACGCUGAGACGCGAAGGUGCGGGGAGCAAACAGGUUUAGAUACCCUGGUAGUCCGCACAGUAAACGAUGUGCACCAGGUGGCGGGGGGUCGACCCUCGGUACCGUAGCUAACGCAUUAAGUGCACCGCCUGGGGAGUAUGCUCGCAAGGGUGAAACUCAAAGGAAUUGACGGG
This 393-nucleotide ribosomal RNA is filed under the name uncultured bacterium. RNAcentral's name for it is "partial 16S ribosomal RNA". It matches the Rfam family "Bacterial small subunit ribosomal RNA", at positions 523 to 917 of the family's 1533-position model. The record is from RNAcentral.